RNAcentral lists this ribosomal RNA (306 nucleotides) under uncultured bacterium. Its description in RNAcentral is "bacterial SSU rRNA". It matches the Rfam family "Bacterial small subunit ribosomal RNA", at positions 28 to 336 of the family's 1533-position model. The record is from RNAcentral.
GACGAACGCUGGCGGCGUGCUUAACACAUGCAAGUCGAGCGGUAAGGCCCUUUCGGGGGUACACGAGCGGCGAACGGGUGAGUAACACGUGGGUGACCUGCCCUCAGCUCUGGGAUAAGCCUGGGAAACCGGGUCUAAUACCGGAUAUGACUCCAUGACGCAUGUUGUGGGGUGGAAAGCCUUGUGCGGCUGAGGAUGGGCCCGCGGCCUAUCAGCUUGUUGGUGGGGUGAUGGCCUACCAAGGCGACGACGGGUAGCCGGCCUGAGAGGCGACCGGCCACACUGGGACUGAGACACGGCCCAGAC